GCAGCUGGUUUUGGUCUUUUUGUAUCUAGUUGUUAACUAUUUGCCCCAGCUGCGCAAACUCACAGUUAUUUUUAGUAACUGAUAAUUUCUUUGUAUUUUGUUGCGGGAGGAGAGGUUUGUCCAGGUGCAAGCAGUGCAGUAGAGGGCCCCAGGCCUCAGCCUGUCUCAAAAAGGCCUGGUUCAGGUUCUUCUCCAGGACCGUCGCGGCUUCCGUAGUGCCCUGGGUUUUACCUCACUCCUCUCGAGUGGGCUUCUGCACGUCCUGGGAGAGUGUGUCCACCCUGCUGGUUUUGCAUCCUCAAGAGACGCUUCGUGACCUCCUGCUUUUCCUCGGUCAGCUUGUGGAUAAAGCAGCCCACACCCUCCAGAGCCACAUCAUGGCGGUGGAAAUAGAAGCAAAGAGAGGUAGAUUUUAUAAGAAAAGCCAGUGGGCUCCCAGACAGAGUUAAAAAGGUGUCUCCCUGAACGACGAGACCUGCGUCCUGGGCAGUCCCUCACCUCCCUGCCUCUGCGCUCAGAGGCCGUGGCCUCUGCCUGCUCAUGGUCCCAGCCUUCCUCCAUCACCGAAGGCCCUGGGCUUUGCCUGUUUGAUUUCUCUUUUCUGAGAAGCAUCUGCACCUGCCCCACCAGAGGAGACCUCCCUUUCUCAGCUCCAAUCCCAGCUGCUUUUAAUUUCUUAAUUAUUGGCCACGAGCAGUCUGUUCCUUAGUGACUGAGAAGUAAGGGAUGCCAGGAUCUCUCUGCCUUUCCUCCAGAACUCAUCUCAAGUCACCUGCAAAGGAGUGGCCUUCCCUGAUCAGCGCUCAGUCUGUUUGGGCUGCUCCUGGUCUGGCCGUUAUGGUCCUGCUGACCUUGUGUUUUUUGGCUCCAAAUGACAAAGCAUCCGGUACACAGGAGAUGUUCAAUACAUGCUUUUUGACCAAGUGAAUGCCACAAGUAAACUAGGCCUGGUGUUCAGUCAGGUCCUUCCUAGCGCAAAUGUGAGAAUGGAGGCUCCAAGGAGUCAAGCAACAUAUCCAACCAAGAUCGUCUCCAAGAAGAGGUUUGAAGGUCUGUGACGGUGACGCAGGUCUUCACUCAAUUGUCAGCUUCAGAAUCCUUACCUGGCUGUUUACCCGAAAAGAGCAUCUUCUACUCACCUUCUGUCUCAUCACUCAGUUUUUCAAAGAGGCGUGUGCAGAGAAGGCAUUAUGAACGUAACAAUCAAGACACAGGAAGUGGGUUGUAACCCUGAAUCUGCCUCCCAGAGUCUCCACUGCAUCAGCCCAGGCUGCUGUGAGGGAUGAGAUGGUGACAAGCUAUGUAGUUACUCCAAGUCUCAGUAGCCUCCUGAUUAUAAUAAGGAAGACUUGGAAGCCUUGAAACUAGACUGUCAUCAAGGUCCCUCUACCUCUGCUAGACUGUGAUAAGCUAUAAGCUGUCUUAGUCCCUGUUGUUGAAGGCAUCUCAGAUCUGAUCCAGAAGGCAUAUGGAAGCUUCAUCUUGAAGCUGUACCAGAUUUGGACCAAAGCCUAACAACGUCCUGAUGUUGUACAGGUUGGAAUGACAGGUGGCCAUUCCACUGGGAAUGUCCUAGUUUGACAUUUGUGGGCACAGUCUGACCAUGGGUGACCUUGAGCCGCUUCUCCACGCAAUGAGCCUUGGUUCUCCCAUCAUAAACAGUAAGACAAACGUGGACUUUACACUUUAAACACUGCAACCAUUGUCCCAGGAGAGUUCAUACAGCCCUCCUAACAAGUCUGUGAGGGAGAGAUCCUCGUCUCACCACCACUGCCACAUCAUUGUUAUUCCUUAUGCUAUACCAAGGCUCAGAGAGAUGGCGCCAGCUGAUUCAGAUCCCACUGUUAAGUCAGUGGAGGAGGCAGAAUUCACAGCCGGGUCUUCUGACUAAAUCCAACACUUAGUGGAGAAGAACAUCUGUAUCUGCUUUAAAAUUUCAUGGAGGCAGAUGAAAUACCAUAUGUUUAAUACUUGGGAGAGAAAAUAUGAAGCAAAUAAA
Non-coding RNA from Vicugna pacos (alpaca), 1999 nucleotides. The record is from RefSeq and is a predicted model, not a curated record. Lineage: Eukaryota; Metazoa; Chordata; Mammalia; Artiodactyla; Camelidae.